This 497-nucleotide ribosomal RNA is filed under the name uncultured bacterium. Its description in RNAcentral is "partial 16S ribosomal RNA". It matches the Rfam family "Bacterial small subunit ribosomal RNA", at positions 28 to 507 of the family's 1533-position model. The record is from RNAcentral.
GAUGAACGCUGGCGGCGUGCCUAAUACAUGCAAGUCGAGCGAACGGACGAGAAGCUUGCUUCUCUGAUGUUAGCGGCGGACGGGUGAGUAACACGUGGAUAACCUACCUAUAAGACUGGGAUAACUUCGGGAAACCGGAGCUAAUACCGGAUGAUAUUUUGAACCGCAUGGUUCAAAAGUGAAAGACGGUCUUGCUGUCACUUAUAGAUGGAUCCGCGCUGCAUUAGCUAGUUGGUAAGGUAACGGCUUACCAAGGCAACGAUGCAUAGCCGACCUGAGAGGGGGAGCGGGGGCGCGGGGGCGGGGAGGGGGUGGAGGGGCCGAGGGGAGGGGGGAGUGGGGGAGGUGCCGCGAUGGGCGAAAGCCUGACGGGGCAACGCCGCGUGAGUGAUGAAGGUCUUCGGAGCGUAAAACUCUGUUAUUAGGGAAGAACAUAUGUGUAAGUAACUGUGCACAUCUUGACGGUACCUAAUCAGAAAGCCACGGCUAACUACGUG